RNAcentral lists this ribosomal RNA (1207 nucleotides) under metagenome. RNAcentral describes it as "bacterial SSU rRNA". It matches the Rfam family "Bacterial small subunit ribosomal RNA", at positions 198 to 1381 of the family's 1533-position model. The record is from RNAcentral.
UGAUGAAAGGUGACCUCUUCAUGAAAGUUGCCGUUUAGGGAGGAGCCCGCGUACCAUUAGCUUGUUGGCGGGGUAAUGGCCCACCAAGGCUACGAUGGUUAGCUGGUCUGAGAGGAUGAUCAGCCACACUGGAACCGAAACACGGUCCAGACUCCUACGGGAGGCAGCAGUAAGGAAUUUUGCGCAAUGGGGGAAACCCUGACGCAGCAACGCCGCGUGAGUGAAGAAGGCUUUCGGGUCGUAAAGCUCUGUCAAGUGGGAAAAAAGCUUGCCGAUGAAUAGUCGGUAGGUCUGAUGGUACCGCUAGAGGAAGCACCGGCUAACUCCGUGCCAGCAGCCGCGGUAAUACGGAGGGUGCGAGCGUUGUUCGGAAUUAUUGGGCGUAAAGAGCGUGUAGGCGGGUUGGCAAGUCAGAUGUGAAAGCCCUGGGCUCAACCCAGGAAGUGCAUUUGAAACUGCCUUUCUAGAGUAUGGGAGAGGAGAGUGGAAUUCCCAGUGUAGAGGUGAAAUUCGUAGAUAUUGGGAGGAACACCCGUGGCGAAGGCGACUCUCUGGACCAAUACUGACGCUGAGACGCGAAAGCGUGGGGAGCAAACGGGAUUAGAUACCCUGGUAGUCCACGCCGUAAACGAUGAGAACUAGGUGUAGCGGGUAUUGACCCCUGCUGUGCCGGAGCUAACGCAUUAAGUUCUCCGCCUGGGGAGUACGGCCGCAAGGCUAAAACUCAAAGGAAUUGACGGGGGCCCGCACAAGCGGUGGAGCAUGUGGUUUAAUUCGACGCAACGCGAAGAACCUUACCUGGGUUUGACAUCCUCUGACAGUCUCGGAAACGGGAUCUUUCCUGCUUGCAGGAACAGAGUGACAGGUGCUGCAUGGCUGUCGUCAGCUCGUGUCGUGAGAUGUUGGGUUAAGUCCCGCAACGAGCGCAACCCUUGUCUUUAGUUGCCAGUAUUAAGUUAGGCACUCUAAAAAUACUGCCUCGGAUAACGGGGAGGAAGGUGGGGAUGACGUCAAGUCCUCAUGGCCUUUAUACCCAGGGCUACACACGUGCUACAAUGGGCUGUACAAAGGGUUGCUAUCCCGCAAGGGAACGCCAAUCCCAAAAAGCAGUUCUCAGUUCGGAUUGGAGUCCGCAACUCGACUCCAUGAAGUCGGAAUCGCUAGUAAUCGUGGAUCAGCAUGCCACGGUGAAUACGUUCCCGGGCCU